Dioscorea cayenensis subsp. rotundata (Guinea yam) is the source of this 168-nucleotide long non-coding RNA. RefSeq lists it as uncharacterized. The transcript is spliced from 3 exons. The record is from RefSeq and is a predicted model, not a curated record. NCBI's taxonomy places the organism in Eukaryota, Viridiplantae, Streptophyta, Magnoliopsida, Dioscoreales, Dioscoreaceae.
AUGGAACACAACCUCCUCCAUCUCCAACCCCACAAUCCUCGUCAACCAAAGUUCCUGGUGCAACUCGUGCAGUUCCUGCUGCUUCUCCUGCCACAGAUGGAACACAACCUCCUCCACCUCCAACUUCACAAGGCUUGCCAUCAGUGAAUGUCAAAGAUCGCAAUAGAG